RNAcentral lists this ribosomal RNA (253 nucleotides) under uncultured bacterium. Its description in RNAcentral is "partial 16S ribosomal RNA". It matches the Rfam family "Bacterial small subunit ribosomal RNA", at positions 524 to 776 of the family's 1533-position model. The record is from RNAcentral.
UACGUAGGGUGCGAGCGUUGUCCGGAAUUACUGGGCGUAAAGAGCUCGUAGGUGGUUUGUCGCGUUGUUCGUGAAAACCGGGGGCUUAACCCUCGGCGUGCGGGCGAUACGGGCAGACUUGAGUACUGCAGGGGAGACUGGAAUUCCUGGUGUAGCGGUGGAAUGCGCAGAUAUCAGGAGGAACACCGGUGGCGAAGGCGGGUCUCUGGGAAGUAACUGACGCUGAGGAGCGAAAGCGUGGGGAGCAAACAGG